Molecule: ribosomal RNA, 804 nt
Filed under: Triticum aestivum (bread wheat)
Lineage: Eukaryota; Viridiplantae; Streptophyta; Magnoliopsida; Poales; Poaceae
Description: partial small subunit ribosomal RNA
Source: RNAcentral
AUGAAGAUGUCCGAUUUAUUUAGUGGGAUUCAAGCAGCUAUGGUUAUCAAUCGAGUAGAGAACAGCGAGCAGUCACCUGAAGAUUGGAAUAGCGACUGUGAUGGAUCCGGUGGUUCAUCAGGUUUGCCAGGCACGCCGUGCUUUACGUCCAGGCUAUCUUUGCUCAAAGUUGGUUCGGUCAUAGGCCAGUUUAGUGAUUUUAAGCGACAGUUAAUCAAGGAAACCGGAUUCGAUGGAAUGCUAGAGCUCAAAUCAUGGCAGAAGAUCAGCCUUAAGUACAACGCUUACCUAAUGGAUAGGGUUGAUGUAGAUUCCAGCAUAAUAAAUUUAGAGGGCCAAGGUGUGCUUGAAUUACGUGACCAACACUUUAAUUAUGUUUUUGGCAUCCCAUGUGGUAAUACAGUCAUAGAAGGUGAAGGCAUGGAGCCGUCAGAAGCAUGUAUUGAGUACACGCGUGUGGCUGCAUCAUUUAGCGAAAGAGGCACGCACAGUCUUAAAGCGGCUGAGGCGUACUUAAAUCGAGCCAUCACAGAAUCGUCCACACAGAUAGAGAAGGACUGUUUCAAGAUUGCAUUUGUUAUUUUUGUAGUCGGUCAUGUACUUGCUCCUACUGCUAAGCACGAUUAUAUAUCGAUAGACUUUUGGGCUGCACUGAAUGAUAUCAGCAAGAUAAAGGAUUGGAAUUGGGGAGGAUAUGUACUGAAGCAUCUGUUCCAAGCUGUGAGGAAGGUCAAAGCAGAUGUGUCCAAGAGAAACCCAACUGUCCACAUAGUUGGCUGUCAUCUGUUCCUGCAGGCGUUCUAA